AAGAGGAGUCUAUAUCCUAUCAGUUAGUUGGCGGGGUAAAAGCCCACCAAGACGAAGACGGGUAGCCGGCCUGAGAGGGUGUUCGGCCACAUGGGAACUGAGACACGGUCCCAACUCCUACGGGAGGCAGCAGUAAGGAAUUUUGGGCAAUGGGCGCAAGCCUGACCCAGCGACACCGCGUGCAUGAAGAAGGCCUUCGGGUCGUAAAGUGCUGUUCCGUGUUAAGAAUGACCCUAGAUGAAUAAUACUAGGGGAGAGACUAAGGCGCGGGAGGAAGAGAUUGCUAACUCUGUGCCAGCAGCAGUGGUAAUACAGAGAUCUCAACCGUUAUUCGGAAUUACUGGGCUUAAAGGGUGUGUAGGCUGUAUGUAAAGUUGGUUGUGAAAAGCUCUGGCUUACCCAGAGUAGGUCAGCCAAAACUAACGUACUAGAGUAUGGUAGGGGGGAGUGGAACUUCUAGUGGAGCGGUGAAAUGCGUUGAUAUUAGAAGGAACGCCGGAGGCGAAAGCGACUCUCUAGACCAUAACUGACGCUGAGGCACGAAAGCCAGGGGAGCAAACGGGAUUAGAUACCCCGGUAGUCCUGGCCCUAAACGAUGAGUACUAGGUAGGGGGCGUAAGCUCUCUGCUGACGCAAAAGUCUUAA
Molecule: ribosomal RNA, 645 nt
Filed under: uncultured bacterium
Lineage: Bacteria
Description: bacterial SSU rRNA
Rfam family: Bacterial small subunit ribosomal RNA
Source: RNAcentral